GCCCUCUUCCGAGUGAACGGUCUGCUCCACGAUGAAGGCUUGGGCCUCUUGGUGGCCUACCUGGAUUGUCUGGAAGCCCAGAGCUUGCUGCAGCCACCAAAUGAAGGGAGGGUGCUGAGUGCUGGGGAUCGAACCCAAGGCCUUGAGCAUGCCAGGCAAAUGCUAUCCCCAGUCCUGAGCUUUGAAGGCUAUGAUAUAAAGGAUGGCAACAAACCAAGAAAGCCUUCCAUAAACCAUAAAGCUUGGUCUUAUGAUAGUAUAAUUUGAAGCUAAAAUUGAAUAUCUCUCAGGACACAGGAUUGAAAGGCAAGUCAAAGGGUGGGAUCCUGAGAACAGAGGCUCUGGGAGUGGAGGGAAUGCAGAGUGACAGGCAGCAAGAAGCCCAAAUUCUAC
Long non-coding RNA from Octodon degus (degu), 393 nucleotides. RefSeq lists it as uncharacterized. The record is from RefSeq and is a predicted model, not a curated record. Lineage: Eukaryota; Metazoa; Chordata; Mammalia; Rodentia; Octodontidae. The transcript has 3 exons.